UACAUAGGGUGCAAGCGUUGUCCGGAAUUAUUGGGCGUAAAGAGCUCGUAGGUCGUUUGCCGCGUCGAUUGUGAAAAUCUGAGGCUCAACCUCAGACCUGCAGUCGAUACGGGCAAACUAGAGUGUGGUAGGGGAGACUGGAAUUCCUGGUGUAGCGGUGGAAUGCGCAGAUAUCAGGAGGAACACCAAUGGCGAAGGCAGGUCUCUGGGCCAUAACUGACACUGAGGAGCGAAAACGCGGGGAGCGAACAGGAUUAGAUACCCUGGUAGUCCGCGCCGUAAACGAUGGGCACUAGCUGUGAGAGCCUUCCACGGUUCUCGCGACGCAGCAAACGCAUUAAGUGCCCCGCCUGGGGAGUACGAUCGCAAGAUUAAAACUCAAAGGAAUUGACGGGGCCCCGCACAAGCAGCGGAGCAUGCGGCUUAAUUCGACGCAACGCGAAGAACCUUACCAAGGCUUGACAUAUAGCGAAAAGUGGCAGAGAUGUCAUGUCCGCAAGGGCGCUAUACAGGUGGUGCAUGGUUGUCGUCAGCUCGUGUCGUGAGAUGUUGGGUUAAGUCCCGCAACGAGCGCAACCCUCGUUCUGUGUUACCAGCAUUCAGUUGGGGACUCACAGGAGACUGCCGGGGUCAACUCGGAGGAAGGUGGGGAUGACGUCAAAUCAUCAUGCCCCUUAUGUCUUGGGCUGCACGCAUGCUACAAUGGCCGGUACAAAGUGCUGCGAAAUCGUAAGAUUUAGCGAAUCACAUAAAGCCGGUCUCAGUUCGGAUUGAGGUCUGCAACUCGACCUCAUGAAGUCGGAGUUGCUAGUAAUCGUAGAUCAGCAACGCUACGGUGAAUACGUUCCCGGGGAU
RNAcentral lists this ribosomal RNA (855 nucleotides) under uncultured bacterium. RNAcentral describes it as "SSU rRNA". It matches the Rfam family "Bacterial small subunit ribosomal RNA", at positions 524 to 1381 of the family's 1533-position model. The record is from RNAcentral.